RNAcentral lists this ribosomal RNA (553 nucleotides) under uncultured archaeon. RNAcentral describes it as "bacterial SSU rRNA". It matches the Rfam family "Archaeal small subunit ribosomal RNA", at positions 326 to 879 of the family's 1478-position model. The record is from RNAcentral.
CGGGGUGCAGCAGGCGCGAAAACUUUACACUGCGGGAAACCGCGAUAAGGGGACCCCGAGUGCCAGCACCUAGUGCUGGCUGUCCAGCUGUCCAAAUAACAGUUGUUAGCAAGGGCCGGGCAAGACCGGUGCCAGCCGCCGCGGUAACACCGGCGGCCCGAGUGGUAGCCGUUAUUAUUGGGUUUAAAGGGUCCGUAGCCGGCCUAUUAAGUCUCUUGGGAAAUCUGGCGACUUAAUCGUCAGGCGUCCAAGAGAUACUGGUAGGCUUGGGACCGGGAGAGGUGGGAGGUACUCCAGGGGUAGGGGUGAAAUCUCGUAAUCCUUGGGGGACCACCGAUGGCGAAGGCAUCCCACCAGAACGGGUCCGACGGUGAGGGACGAAAGCUGGGGGCACGAACCGGAUUAGAUACCCGGGUAGUCCCAGCUGUAAACGAUGCUCGCUAGGUGUCAGGUGCGGUGCGACCGCAUCUGGUGCCGCAGUGAAAACUUGAAGCGAGUCACCUGGGAAGUACGGUCGCAAGGCUGAAACUUAAAGGAAUUGGCGGGGGAGCAC